RNAcentral lists this ribosomal RNA (270 nucleotides) under uncultured bacterium. RNAcentral's name for it is "partial 16S ribosomal RNA". It matches the Rfam family "Bacterial small subunit ribosomal RNA", at positions 88 to 354 of the family's 1533-position model. The record is from RNAcentral.
CCGGCGACCGGCGCACGGGUGAGUAACACGUAUGCAACCUGCCCGUGGCAGGGGGAUAAGCGGGGGAAACCCCGUCUAAUACCGCGUAACGCGGCCUAGGGACAUCCCAAGGCCGCCAAAGGGAGCAAUCCUGGCCACGGAUGGGCAUGCGGCGCAUUAGCUAGUCGGCGGGGUAACGGCCCACCGAGGCGACGAUGCGUAGGGGUUCUGAGAGGAAGGCCCCCCACACUGGUACUGAGACACGGACCAGACUCCUACGGGAGGCAGCAG